CUUAGCGCAUACGACAGCAAAAGUUUAUCCCAGCCCAACCUGCGAUUAGCUGUGUGACUUGGGGUUGAAUCCUUAUCACGGCAUGCCUAGAGUGCCGGCACAGCAUCUCAGUUGAUGACCUUGCCUCUAGGCAGAAGCAAGGGAGACAUCAACAUGGUCCCUGGCCACAUCCCAUGUCCAAAUCCUCACCUCCAUUGGAACGGCACAAGAACCUCCACAUGGCCCAAAAGUGCGAGUGAUUUGCAAACACCUGCACACCCAGAGUCACUACCUGAAGAUGACUAUUCAACUUCUAU
This is a long non-coding RNA of Hyaena hyaena (striped hyena), 296 nucleotides long. RefSeq lists it as uncharacterized. The record is from RefSeq and is a predicted model, not a curated record. NCBI's taxonomy places the organism in Eukaryota, Metazoa, Chordata, Mammalia, Carnivora, Hyaenidae. The transcript has 3 exons.